This 429-nucleotide ribosomal RNA is filed under the name Pseudomonadota bacterium. RNAcentral's name for it is "Proteobacteria bacterium partial 16S ribosomal RNA". It matches the Rfam family "Bacterial small subunit ribosomal RNA", at positions 355 to 776 of the family's 1533-position model. The record is from RNAcentral. Lineage: Bacteria; Pseudomonadati; Pseudomonadota.
UGGGGAAUAUUGGACAAUGGGCGAAAGCCUGAUCCAGCCAUGCCGCGUGUGUGAAGAAGGUCUUCGGAUUGUAAAGCAUUUUAAGUUGGGAGGAAGGGCAGUAAGCGAAUACCUUGCUGUUUUGACGUUACCGACAGAAUAAGCACCGGCUAACUCUGUGCCAGCAGCCGCGGUAAUACAGAGGGUGCGAGCGUUAAUCGGAUUUACUGGGCGUAAAGCGUGCGUAGGCGGCUAAUUGAGUCGGAUGUGAAAUCCCCGAGCUUAACUUGGGAAUUGCAUUCGAUACUGGUUAGCUAGAGUGUGGGAGAGGAUGGUAGAAUUCCAGGUGUAGCGGUGAAAUGCGUAGAGAUCUGGAGGAAUACCGAUGGCGAAGGCAGCCAUCUGGCCUAACACUGACGCUGAGGUACGAAAGCAUGGGGAGCAAACAGG